This is a non-coding RNA of Oryza sativa Japonica Group (Japanese rice), 80 nucleotides long. The record is from RefSeq and is a predicted model, not a curated record. NCBI's taxonomy places the organism in Eukaryota, Viridiplantae, Streptophyta, Magnoliopsida, Poales, Poaceae.
GGAUCCGCUCUUCCGAUCUGCGAUUCCUGCUUCAUGCAGGCGAGUUGCAGCCUGCAAUCCGAACUGAGGACGAGUUUUUG